Molecule: small RNA, 457 nt
Filed under: Staphylococcus aureus
Lineage: Bacteria; Bacillati; Bacillota; Bacilli; Caryophanales; Staphylococcaceae
Description: Transcript
Source: RNAcentral
UCUAACAGCUACGCGCAUUUUAGCUUUUGCGCUAUCGCGUUUAGACCAAUCAACACCCAUGUUUUCUUUCACUGUUUUAGUUAGCUCAUGAGCAAUCGCACGUAGUUCUUUAUCUCCCAUGGCUUCUUUUGCUGUUUCAUGUGAAGCUAAAGCAUCGUAAAACGCAAUCUCAUCUGAAUUCAGGCCUAAUUCAUUUCCUCGUUGUUGUUCUUGUUUAAUAUCUUUAGCGAGUUGAAUGAGUUCUUCAAUCACUUUUGAUGUUUCAAUAGAACGGCUAUUAUAUUUAUUAAUCGAAUUUCCUAACAUUUCAGAGAAACGCUUAGAUACUGUCGCGUUCGUUUUCAUUAAUGAUUUUACUUGCCCUUUGAGUAAUCGAUUUAAUAAUUCUACCGCAACAUUUUUUGUUUCAAUCCUUCGACAUCUUUUAGGAAGUCAUCUGAUAGGAUUGAUAAAUCGG